CAACACGAAACCUCACUGGGACGUCCGAAAAAGAUCCCCACAUCCCACGUCCCGCGUGGGCAAUCCCUUAGACGUCCCAGGAACAGCCGCGGAGGGCAACCACCAUGAAGUCCAUCAUGAGUACUUCGGCGGUCGUAAUGUGGACUUUCCUCCCGCUCUCCCACUUUCCUUCUUCUACUCUCUCGCAAACACUCGCAAACUGCGAGGCCGAAUUAUGGCGUCCGUUAGCAACCAGAUGGCGCUAAUCAUUUUAAUUUCUCACUAGCUUUGUAAUGUUGCUCACAGCAUUGUUUGAGUAACGCAAAGCUGCUUACGUAGACGAUAGAGAAUAACGUGCCGCGGAUAAUUGCAUGUCAUGGUUUUGAAGUUGGUAACAAGGAAACGGUCAUACGGUACUGCGGCUGAGUGAAACUGAACGCUAAAAGUGGCGGGAGCAGGACGGUUGUCCGUUCUUUGUAUUUAUGGCUUCCAUGAUGGCGGCGUGCGUCCGUGCGUAUUGCCGCAGUUUGAUGUACAAGUGAGAGACAUGGACGGCAGUAUAGGUAUGUUUGCUCUUUUUUAGGUAACGAUAGUUUGUCACGCAUUCUGUUUUUCAUAAUGCAGUGAAGUUUUGCAGCGUACGGACAUAAUUUUCUAGCAGUUCAGAGAGAACACGUUUGACAACGUAGAGAGCGUUUAGUGUGUUUUUCCCCAGUCUGAGGGUUCGUUAUGAAGACGUUUGACAAGUUGAGAAGUUGUUUGAGAACUCGCUACCAAGUCCAGAACAACACUGUAAGUUAGAGAUGAGGCUAGAGACAGUGAGUUUUAUUAUCAAAUACAAAUAGUAUGAAAACACUGGCCUGUGACAAACAUGUAUCUUGCACCGUAACACGUUGAAUGUCAUUACAGGGAAUCAGUCAAUGAAGGAUUUGCCAAGUUACAGCAGCCUUCUAUCCAUCACAAGCUUUUGGCCUGAACGCAGACAUGAUUGCUCUCAGCAGAAGAUUACUCACUUCCAUCUUCUCAGUUCAGAGGAACAAGUCAGCGUCAUUUGCAAGGUGCCCCGCUUUUUCAUUUCUAUCCCAAGCAGAGCACCCAGUGAUGCAAUUCUUAACAUUUUCCUAUCUAUAUAGGUAACCACAACAGUUCUUUCACAGCGGCCUGUCCUGCAGCAUCCCAAUGAACAACUACUGUACGACCCGUAUGGGAAUUUUUUUUCAUGAGCAGAUCAACAAUGCCAAGGUUACCUCACGAAGAUCCGGGUGCCUCAAGCGUCUCUACCUUCUUGGGAGGGAAAUGAAAUAGACAACUAUGUCGUGACUGUACCACGCAUCGCGAGCUCAGGAACGUCACAAAUCAAGAGCAGCAUUUGGAAGCAACAAAGAGGACAUUUAAACUGUGUGUACUCAGAUA
Ornithodoros turicata is the source of this 1392-nucleotide long non-coding RNA. RefSeq lists it as uncharacterized. NCBI's taxonomy places the organism in Eukaryota, Metazoa, Arthropoda, Arachnida, Ixodida, Argasidae. The record is from RefSeq and is a predicted model, not a curated record. The transcript has 3 exons.